Molecule: ribosomal RNA, 919 nt
Filed under: uncultured archaeon
Lineage: Archaea
Description: bacterial SSU rRNA
Rfam family: Archaeal small subunit ribosomal RNA
Source: RNAcentral
UUCCGGUUGAUCCUGCCGGAGGUCAUUGCUAUCGGGGUCCGAUUUAGCCAUGCUAGUCGUACGAGUUCAUACUCGUGGCGAAUAGCUCCGUAACACGUGGCCAAACUACCCAACGGAGAGCGAUACUCUCGGGAAACUGAGGCUAAUAGCUCAUAGGGGACACUACCUGGAAUGGUGCGUCUCCGAAAGGUUCCGACGCCGUUGGAUGUGGCUGCGGCCGAUUAGGUAGACGGUGGGGUAACGGCCCACCGUGCCGAUAAUCGGUACGGGUUGUGAGAGCAAGAGCCCGGAGACGGAAUCUGAGACAAGAUUCCGGGCCCUACGGGGUGCAGCAGGCGCGAAACCUUUACACUGUACGCAAGUACGAUAGGGGGACACCGAGUGCGAGGGCAUAGAGCCCUCGCUUUUGUACACCGUAAGGUGGUGCACGAAUAAGGGCUGGGCAAGACCGGUGCCAGCCGCCGCGGUAACACCGGCAGCCCAAGUGAUGGCCGCUAUUAUUGGGCCUAAAGCGUCCGUAGCUGGCCGUUCAGGUCCGUCGGGAAAUCCACUGGCUUAACCAGUGGGCGUCCGGCGGAAACCGUUCGGCUUGGAACAGGGAGACCAGAGGGGUACGUCCGGGGUAGGAGUGAAAUCCCGUAAUCCUGGACGGACCAUCGGUGGCGAAAGCGCCUCUGGAGAACUGAUUCGACAGUGAGGGACGAAAGCUGGGGUCUCGAACCGGAUUAGAUACCCGGGUAGUCCCAGCCGUAAACGAUGCUCGCUAGGUGUGUCGCAGGCUACGAGCCUGCGAUGUGCCGUAGGGAAGCCGAGAAGCGAGCCGCCUGGGAAGUACGUCCGCAAGGAUGAAACUUAAAGGAAUUGGCGGGGGAGCACUACAACCGGAGGAGCCUGCGGUUUAAUUGGACUCAACGCCGGU